This is a non-coding RNA of Thalictrum thalictroides, 162 nucleotides long. Lineage: Eukaryota; Viridiplantae; Streptophyta; Magnoliopsida; Ranunculales; Ranunculaceae. The record is from the annotation of a GenBank genome assembly.
AUACUUACCUGGACGGGGUCUAUGGGCGAUCAUGAAGAUCUAUGGCCUAGGUUGGUGGCCUCCAUUGCACUUUGGAGGGGGUGCUUUCCUAAGAUAUCUCCAAGUGGGAUAGUCUACGUCAUAAUUUGUUGCUAUGGGGGUACGCGUUCGCGCGGCCCCUGC